RNAcentral lists this ribosomal RNA (446 nucleotides) under uncultured bacterium. Its description in RNAcentral is "bacterial SSU rRNA". It matches the Rfam family "Bacterial small subunit ribosomal RNA", at positions 355 to 825 of the family's 1533-position model. The record is from RNAcentral.
UGGGGAAUAUUGGACAAUGGGCGCAAGCCUGAUCCAGCCAUGCCGCGUGGAUGAAGAAGGCCCUAGGGUUGUAAAGUCCUUUCGGUGGUGAAGAUAAUGACGGUAACCACAGAAGAAGCCCCGGCUAAUUUCGUGCCAGCAGCCGCGGUAAUACGAAAGGGGCUAGCGUUGUUCGGAAUUACUGGGCGUAAAGCGCACGUAGGCGGUUUUUAAGUCAGAUGUGAAAGCCCCGGGCUCAACCUGGGAAUUGCAUUUGAAACUGGAAAACUAGAGUGUGUGAGAGGGGGGUAGAAUUCCAAGUGUAGCGGUGAAAUGCGUAGAGAUUUGGAGGAAUACCAGUGGCGAAGGCGGCCCCCUGGCACAACACUGACGCUCAGGUGCGAAAGCGUGGGGAGCAAACAGGAUUAGAUACCCACGUAGUCCCUGAGCGGGCUGGCAAGGCGCAU